Molecule: ribosomal RNA, 468 nt
Filed under: uncultured bacterium
Lineage: Bacteria
Description: partial 16S ribosomal RNA
Rfam family: Bacterial small subunit ribosomal RNA
Source: RNAcentral
GACGAACGCUGGCGGCGUGCUUAACACAUGCAAGUCGAACGGAAAGGCCCUGCUUUUGUGGGGUGCUCGAGUGGCGAACGGGUGAGUAACACGUGAGUAACCUGCCCUUGACUUUGGGAUAACUUCAGGAAACUGGGGCUAAUACCGGAUAGGAGCUCCUGCUGCAUGGUGGGGGUUGGAAAGUUUCGGCGGUUGGGGAUGGACUCGCGGCUUAUCAGCUUGUUGGUGGGGUAGUGGCUUACCAAGGCUUUGACGGGUAGCCGGCCUGAGAGGGUGACCGGCGACAUUGGGACUGAGAUACGGCCCAGAGUCCUACGGGAGGCAGCAGUGGGGAAUAUUGCACAAUGGGCGGAAGCCUGAUGCAGCAACGCCGCGUGCGGGAUGACGGCAUUCGGGUUGUAAACCGCUUUCGCCUGUGACGAAGCGUGAGUGACGGUAAUGGGUAAAGAAGCACCGGCUAACUACGUG